This is a long non-coding RNA of Myotis myotis, 7916 nucleotides long. RefSeq lists it as uncharacterized. The transcript has 2 exons. NCBI's taxonomy places the organism in Eukaryota, Metazoa, Chordata, Mammalia, Chiroptera, Vespertilionidae. The record is from RefSeq and is a predicted model, not a curated record.
UGGAUCAGCUGCCUCCUGCAUGCCCCACACUGGGGAUUGAACCCACAUGUGCCCUGACUGGGAAUUGAACCAACAGUGUCCUCCUGGUUCAUAAGUCAAUACUCAACCACUGAACCGCACCAGCCGGGCAAUAGUUCCUUCUUUUGCUGUUUCCUACUGGGUCUCCUUUCCCCAUCAUUCUUAAGCUUAAUUAUUACAGAACAAAGUCUUAAAUCACUUCUGAAUUCAGUGGUCCUAUCACUGAGGGUUCCUGCAGAUUUCUCAAUGUGAUUGUAUCAUUUUGGUUCUCUUUUUAAUGCGUUACUCCAUAAAGGGAUUCAGAUAGAAAGAUUUACAUAGACUGAAGAAACCAGAUGAUAUAUUGUUCCAGGCCAGGGACCCUAGUUUUUAGGCUUAUAGAGGAACUAGCUCUCAAAGCCAAGACACUUCAGCAAACAUUUAACACACAACACCCAAAUCCUAUAAGCACCCCUAUUUCUCUGGGCCUUAAAAAUUCUUCUACCCUUUCCUGAUCAAAGUACAAUUCUUGGACUAAUUGCACUAUUUGUUUUGCUUGCUUUGGCAUGUUUAUAUAGUGACAUGUAGUUCAUACACUUAAUGAACUCUAAGCUGUUGUCUUAGUAUAUGUGUUGCAUUUCCCUCAACUACAUGGUAAACCUUCGGAGCAAGGACUGUUAACUUUCUAACACUUCUUUCAAGAUGUCUAGUAUCCUAGUACACACCUUAAUAAAUGUGAAUACGUAAAUAGAUUCAUGAAAUCCUAGGCAGGUGUACCCCAUAGCUUAGAUCUCAUAUGUAGUGUGGUCCUCCGAUCAGAUUGGAUUUAUUCCCAAAGUAGUGACUUUGCUGCCUUUUUUAAAUGGAAAACUUAAAGGAGAAAUGCAAGGACUUGGGAUAAAAAUACCUUUUUUUUUUAAUCCUCACCUAAGGAAUUUUUCCCAUUGCUUUUUAGAAAGAGUGGGGGGCUUGGGCGGGGGGCGGGAGGAUUGAGAGAAACCGAUUCGUUGCCCCCCACAUUCAUUCCUACCAGGGCUGGGGAAUGUUUGAGAGACCCUUCAAUGGGUGUCUGAUGCUCUAACCCACUGAGCCACACCGGCCAGGGCAAAAAAAACCCAUUUUCCUACUGAAAAUAAUAGUUGAAAGUACUUUGAUUAAUUUUAAUCCUCAAAUAGUAUUAGCCUCAUUUUGCAGUUUGAGGAAAUAGGCUCAGAGAUGGUAAAGUGGCCUAGAACUUGAAUCCAAGUCUCUUGGUGACAAGUUUUUGUUUUACUACUGCAUUGCUUUUUUAAAGCCAGCCAGUCAUUUCCAGUGGGGAGGUUAGGUGGAUUAGUUUUAGAACAUAGCUUGUAAUACCCGCCUGAUGCCACCAGGGUGUCCCAUGGUGCUGUCUUUGAUUCAUUUUUUUAACCCUGGUUUCUGGGGGCAGUUCCAAAGCAGGAGUUAGUCUAGUCACAGUGGCCAUAACCCGGAGCCCAGCAGCCAGAAAGUGAUGUGUUUAGCUCCCUGGCUUUCCAGUGUGCAGUGCACAGCCAGAAUCAGAGAAGCCCUUACCCUCUUUUGACCCCUACUCAUCAGGGUGGCACCACAAAAGGACAGUAGGCCAUGCAGUGGCCAGAGCCUGGCUAGCACUCUAGCUAGGCAGCAGCCCCACAAAGAAAUGUAGCAUAGAAACAACUGGGUAAAUGUCUAUAAACACCUGCAUUUGUUUUGGUAACUACACAAAUUUGUAUUAGUAAAAUAGAUCCACGACAUAAAACCAGAUUGAAUUGCUUUACCACUGCAGGUUAGAUAGCUUUUAACUGAUUUCAGAGGGAGAGAGAAAUACCAAUGAUUCUCGAAAUACCAAUGAUGAGAAUCAUUGGUCAGCUGCCUCCUGCACACACCACAAUGGGAUCAAGUUCACAACCGGGCAUGUGCCCUUGGCGGGAAUCAAACCUGGGACCCUUCAGUCUACAGGCUGACACUAUCCACUGAGCCAAACCGGCUAGGGCGGCAUCAGUUUCUAUAUUCUGCAAUCCUAGGUGACAGUUCUGUGUCAGAGCUAACACUUAUGUGAGAACCAAUAAAGUGAAGUCUUGAUUUAAUAUUAAGACGACAAAUAGCCCCUUUUAAAAAGCUGCUUCCUUCCUAGUGCUCUUUAAGCACUUUGUGCAAACUAGUCUAUAUUACUUUUCUUUACUGGAGGAGAUUCUGAAAAGUAUUUCCAGUGACUAGCACAGUUUCUGGCAUUCAAUGGGUGCUGAAUAAAUAUGUUUACUGAAAUAGCAAAACCAUAAUAGUUACAGAAUAGUUCUGCACAUGAGCUAUUUUUUAAGGAGAGAGUCCACAUUAAGGGGGGGUCUUUGUUUUGUCUUCAAACUGAUUAGAAUAUAUUAUGAACUAGGAAGUUAGUCUCUGGGGUGUCCUGACUGGUCUUUCAAAAUCUUGUCAAAUCUUAGUUGUAAUUAGUGCAACCUGAACUGGGGGCUUUAUCUGAGCUGAUUCUCUAUAUAAUCACCCAUGCUAUAUCUCUAGGACCAAGUGUUUACCAGGUGGCACUUGGAUCCACCAGGAGACACUAAAUUAAACAUUAAUUGGAGAUGUUGGACUUGUGCCUUCCUCCUCCUCCCUCCCUCCCUGUUUUUGCAGGAGAAUUUCCAUCCCAAAAUUCUGGUUUUAAGAUCACUAUGGAAUAAAUCACAAACUUACCUCUAGUAGUCAAGCUUCCCUUUCAAUUUUCUUAGCUCUGGUGAAGAGGGCUAAUCAGAUUAUUAAUACCAACUUGGAUCCCUUCAUACGCUUUGCCUAGGUCAGUGGUCGGCAAACUCAUUAGUCAACAGAGCCAAAUAUCAACAGUACAAUGAUUGAAACUGCUUUUGAGGGCCAAAUUUUUCAAACUUAAACUAUAUAGGUAGGUACAUUGUUAUUAAUUAGGGUACUCCUAAGGCUUAGGAAGAGCCACACUCAAGGGGCCAAAGAGCCACAUGUGGCUCGCGAGCCGCAGUUUGCCGACCACGGGCCUAGGUGAUCAGAGUAACUGCCCCAGCAUAAUAACUGUGUGUAUUGGACAUUUAUAAGGACUUCCUCAGGCAAAAGGCAGAAAUAAUAUGUAUCCCAACUCCCAGAAUAUCUGUUUCUGGGAUUGGUUUAUACCUUUAUGCUCAGGAAGCGUUUUCACUGGCUUGGAUUCACUACUUGCCAUCUGCUUUCUAAGCAUUCACUGCUGAAUGAAAGGGGAGAGAAAGUAAAAGGGGAGGGGGGAGGAGGAGGGAGCUAGAAAAAACAGGAGGAAACAGCUGGGGAGCUGGGUUGGGGCUAUGCUUAUGUAAGAUCAGUGAAACAAAGUUAGCAGGGACAGGGUCAGGCCUUGCAGGUAGAGAGCUAAUUCUGUCAACUAGUUGAGUAGGGCCUUGUUUUGUUAGAGAUACUAAAGUUACUUCAAAGGAAAAAUCCAGAUGUUCUGAAUCUGACUGUUUUCCCUGUGUACCAUCCUAAAUUGUUUAUUGAAUCAAAUAUCCUGCCCUCUAGGAAUUCUGGUCCUCUUUAGGUCUAGCAGAGAGCUUGAUGCCACUGCUCAGGCAACCAAAGGUGAAAUGCUUCUAGUAGUAUUGGUGUUUUAUUGACAGCCUGAGGAGGAAAUGAGUGCAGUUGUUGUCCCUCCAUAGAGCUUACCAGGCCCCUGUACCUGCUUUUAUGCCAGGACCCAAUGACUGUAGAACUUGAGGCAGCUUCUAGUUCAGAGACUUCUCAGGGUCAAGAAACAACUUUACAGGAAUUAAUUCCCUCUCUUGGAAUCUUAGCCAGCCUUUAUGCUGUCUUGGCCUGUGUCCCAUCUCUUGGCAUUGCUUUCCAGAAUGGAGCAGACUUCCUAAAGCUUAGUCUAGGUAGUCUGGUGGUAAUCACAUCAGUGUCUUAGGUCACCACACUCCCUUCCCUCAGAUUCCUCAACACAGGUUUCAGUAGUUCUUGUUCCCUUCAACUGAGAAAUGGAGGGAUCCUCAGUUGAAAAUCAGAUUUACCCAAUGAAGCUUUUAAAAAAUCUAAGCCAAUGAAAGGGAGAGGAAGGAGUAUCAGAAAAACAGAGCCAGAAACAAAAUCCUUUCCGAACUCUGAACUAUCCUCAAAUUUGGUAUGAUGAAGACACUGAAUAGCUGUUUCUACUGGAGUUUGGGUAAAGAGGAUUCACUUGAUAUAUCUAUGGUUUUGCUCUCCCCCUACCUACACUUCACAAGAGCAUUUACAAGUAGUAAUUUAAAAAAAAGUGGGGUUUUUUUUGCCAAUGAAUAGCAUUUUUCUGGUAAUGUAGAUGGAUAGCACAAUACUGGUUAGUGUCAUUACAUCCCUCUUAACCAGUGGAAUGAGUUGGAGGCUUUAGCUAUACUGUAAAAAGCUUUACUUCUGUACCAGAAUAACUUUAUAUAAGGAUUUAAGUUAUUUUUUACAAUUAGCCGAUUUUUGGUUUUUUAUUUCAGAGGAGGGGAGAGGGAGAGAGAGCUAGAAACAUCAAUGAUGAGAGAGAAUCAUUGAUCAGCUGCCUCCUGCACGCCUGCAACCUGGGCAUGUGCUGUAGGGGAUUGAACCUGGGAUCCUUCAGUCUGUAGGCCGACGCUCUAUCCACUGAGCCAAACCAGCUAGGGCAAACUGAGCUAAACUUUGUAGUUCAGUUCAGACCCACCAAAUUGAGUGACGUUUUAAGUAUCAACUUUUUCAAGUUCAGCCUUUACCCUGGGCUUGGGGCAUUUGAGGGCAGGGAGGAACAGGUGUCCAAAGGAGAAAUGUUGGUGCCUGAGAGUAUGUUUUCCAGUUGUAUUGAAUUUCUUACUUGGUGUAUUUUUGACCUUAGUUUCUUUCCUUCUUGUGUCCUAUACUAUUUUGCUUACUAUUUAGGAGCUGUAAAAUGUCAGUAUUUCUGAUCAAAUGCUUUCUGGAUGUAACUGAUAGGCUUAGCAUUGAUUUAUGGUAGCUUCUUUCAAGAAGCGUUAAGGUGAUAAAUGUGUUUCCAUGGCUUUAGACUUGUUUUUGGUAUAUUGGGUGUGUGCCCUUCUUAGAAACAGUAGAGUAUUGAAGAACCCUCAACUACUAGUUGAACUAGGAAAAUGGGUAGAUUUGUUCCCUGUUCUUUUGUUCUCUGUGAUUAUUUUCCAGCUCUCAAGGAACUUAAUAGUUAUGGGGGAAGGGGAGGGAAGAAGGAAGAUCUUUAUUGUUUCCCCUUCCUCACCUUCACAGUUAAAACAAAAAUAACUGGUGAUGCCACUUUAGGUAGUAUAAUUGAAACAAAAACCCAACUUCUGACCACAUGGGCCACAGACAUUUGGCUUAAGCCCUCAAGUGUGUUUAUGGAGCUUGGGUAGAGUGGAGGGGGUGGGAAGAGUACUUCUGCAUUCCUCUCAAGGAGAUUUGGUUGUUUUUGUUUGGAGGAGAGGGGUUUCCCUUUGGUCCGGUGUAAAGUGUGCUUCCUUUUCUCAAUUGCAUUGAGGCUGGAAAUGAAGGAUAACAUUUCUGGUCACUUUUUUGGUAUUUCUAAAUAUUGCAGUCUUGAUUUUUACUAGAUUUGUGAAUUGUCAGUCGUCACUUUUUUUCAUGAGUUAGUCCAGUAUCUUGAUAGUUUGAAGCUUCUUCUAACUAGAUCUUCUCUACUGAAAGUUUGGAUUUGAUUUGUUUUUGGUUUGUUGAGUGGUCUUAUGUGGGGACAGGUAAUGAAGCAGAGAUGCUUUCUAUUCCUAGGAUUCUAAAUCUAAUCCUAAUCCUUAAUGUACUCAUAGGAUUUAAAAGUCCUCUUCAAUAUAGGAAGGAAAUAUCCUGUGGCUUUUUAAUGUCUGCUAAAAAUUGUCUUUAGAAAAGCUAAUCUUAAUAGGCAUCUUCCUUUGUCAUGUGUCAUUAGCCUUUUAGCCACUUACCCUUAGGGCUCUUGAAGGAGAGGGAUAGGGCAUGAUGAAAAAUUUGUCACUUUCAAAGGAAGAGGAAUAGCCCUGGCCAGCAAGCUCACUGGUUAGAGCAUAGGCCUGCACACUGGAGGGUCUGAGGUUUGAUUCCAGGGCAAGGUUGUCAAGGACACAUACCUGGGUUGCAGGUCUGAUCUCUGCUCCCCAUUGGGGUGGAAGGCAUCCAAUUCAUGUGUCUGUCACAUCGAAGUUCCUCUCCCCUCCUCCCUUCUCCCUUCCACUUUUUAAAAUCAAUGGAAAAAAUAUCCUCACUCCUUGGGUGAGGAUUUUUAAAAGAAAGGAUUAAUUAAUUGGCUCUUAUGCAGCUGUUAAUGGGGAACCACUCAAUAACACCAAUAAAAACAUUUACUGAGCUUCUGUUAUAUUCUAGGAAAUACUCUUAAGCAUUUUACAUAUAUUUCUCAUUUAAUCCAAAAAUCACCUGUAUAAGAUAGGUAUUUACUUUGUCCUCAUUUUCCAGAUGAGGAAACUGAGGCCUUAAAAGGUUGACAGGUUAUACAAGCUGAGGCAGGGGGAUAAGGGUGGUAAAGAGGAUAGGGAGGGAAUCUUGAGUAUUAUUUGGGUGAAUGUAGGCACAGUGUAUUUUUUGCUUAGGCACCAAACAUUUUAGUUAUUCAUCAUAUCUGAGGGUAAUACUCUUUAUUCACUCACUGAACGCUGUUUACAAUAAUCAAGGUAAAUUUACUGUCUUGAGACAUCCCUAGUCUCUUUUUUCCCCCAUCCUUAGUCUUUUUACUGGACCCCAGUAUGGUCUGUGGAGGGGCUCAUUUUGUUUGUGAUUAAAGAUAUUGUCUCUCCUAAGGAUAAGCAGAAAUGCCCCUUCUAAAAAAACAGUCUUUGAUCUUACUGGUUUCAUUAUAUUCCUCAAAACAGUUGGAGCUGAUUGUUUUUGCAUAAUUGUUCUUAGGUUUAAAACUUCAUCUUAAUUUAAUAAGUGGUUAGAUUUCCUUUUUAAGGGAGGGCUUGGGGAGCAAUCAGGAAUUCUGGUUUCACCUAUGGACAGAGAUAAAAUUAGACAUUUUCCUUAAGAAAAGUGUGAUACUUCUGAAUCCCAGCUCUUCAAUAAUGAGAACUGAACUGUUUUCACUUGACCUCUACUUCCUGUUAGUGGGAAACCCUCUCCAGCAGUGCUGGGAGAAAGUUGAUGGAGAAAGUUUUCUAGAUCCCAGGAUAAGGUAUUCAAGAGUCCCGCAAUAUUGUCAUUAGAAUAAUGGUCUUCAUUAAAUACGAAUUUUCACAAUCUUGAAGCUCACUUUCACCACAGUUUGAAAGGCAACCAAGAGGCUACAGAGGGGAGGAGGAAAUGAGAUGAACUCCAGAGGCCAGAAAGAAGCCCAUCUUCUUUACUGAAUGAAAAUGAAAGAACAUGUAAUGUCCAAGACCAGAGCAAAAAGGUCUUAAACUAGUUAAUUCCUUAGGUAUCUUAAUUCCCUCCCUAUCUUGCAUGCAUACAUAAACUUUAGGCUUCCUAAUUCCUUUUUCUUUCCAAAGGAGACUAAUGGACAUUUAUAGGAGACAAGGGACAUGGGAGCAGUUUAGCUGAAGGAAUGUAUCAGAAACUUCAUUUUCUGUCCCCUCCUGUCUUAGGCUGAGUGGUUCCUGGAUGUGUUUAUCUGCUUCUGCUACUGAUCCAAACUGCAGAACUCAUUCCUCCCCGAGGCCUGCAAGCAGUAACCAAUUGUGUAUUUAUGGGAAAAGUUGGAGAUGGUGACCUUGAUUAGAAUGUGUCUGGAGAGGAUGAUAGGAGACAGUUGGUUACGAAAGAUGUUGAAGUCUUGAAUACUACCUCUAUGUGAGGAAAGGAUAGAAAACGUUCAGACAUCAUCAUCCAGUACCAGUAGCAGUGACGCCUACACGGAAGACUUGGAACUGCAAACAGAUGCUGGGGUCACCUCAGUGACAUCUGACGCUGUCCAACCAGAAGUUCGAUUUUUGUUUUGAGGGGUGAGGAAGCUGACUGUACUAACGGAUUAAAAUAAUUUCUUGACUGCAGUU